AUCUUGAAGUGGGUCUCAGCUCAAAGUACUGAAGAUGAACAUUAUUGUUUGAAACUAGUCCACCAUUCAAGAGUUGGAAGAAUUCAAGGUGGAUGGAGUGCAAGAGGAAGAGGAAAUGAAAGAAAGAGGAGAAAUGGAUAAAGAGAGAUAAGGAUGGAAUGUUGGUGAUGUGUUGAGAUGAUAAUAUGAUGGUGUUGAAAAUCAGUCAGGAUACAUGCAGAGUCUCAAGGUCAUGUAAAACAUCCAGCAACUAACAUCUGUCGGUUCAUCAUUUUUUGACGUAGUUAGAAGUGAAACUGAGAUGGAAAUAAUGGAGAAGAAGAAGAAAAGAGAAAUAAUAGAAAAGGAAGUUGAAUUGUAAGAAGAAAUUGAAGACUUCUCUUCCUCUUAAACAUUUUAAUGACCUCUCCAACCCUUCCAUCUACUUACGAUGAAAAAUGAAGAGGAUGAAACGUCUCUUGAAGAAGUGACAAUAACAUUCAGACACAGUGAAAACGGUAACUCUCCAAUUUCAUCUACAGAUGAAAUCAAAACUGAUAACUCUCCAAUUUCAUCUACGGAUGAAAACAAAAACGGUCACUCUCCAAAUCUAUCUACAAAUGAAGCCCGUAUUUCUGUUGAUGCAAACCAAGAACCUACUAUACAUGAUAGUAGACUAUUCAGGCGGAGAAAACGAAGGAAUGAUGAUUUGGAUGAAGAAAUUCAAGAAUACUCGAAUGAGUUUACAAAUAUUCAGAUCGAAGGAGAUGAAGAUAUGGAGGAAAAGGAAGAAGGGAGAGGUGGAAAUCGAAUCUGGGCUUCUAUGAAAUCGGCGUUUUCGUGUUUCUAUGUUCAACAUAUCGAUAGUCAAAAGCACUUCUCUCAUCGGAUCUCAAGCGACAGAAUGCCGAAUUCGAUUAUGAGUGAUAAUGAAACUUAUUUCUCUGAGAAAUUUGUCUAUCGCCGGGAAGGAGAAGUUGUUAAACUUAUUUCUAUCAACGAAACUGUUUAUCAAAAGUUUCCUGAUGAGGUAUUCGGUAAUCACUCGUCGGAAAUGUUCUUCUGGCCCUUCCUCAUACCAUGGCAGGUCAUGAUGAUGACAAUUCUGGUUGUCACUUUUGAAAUUGUGUUUUUCAAUGUGUGCUUCGACUGGCGGUUCAUAUAUAUCCCAGUGGCGAACAGCUUCAGCCAAUACAUGGUUUUCUGGGGUGCUGCAGAUGAUCUAUCUCAUAGAUUUUCUGCUAACUUUGGUGAACAGACAGUGGAAUGAGUUUCAAAUAAAGCACACCAUUGUGCCCCGUAACCGAUACUAUAUUGCAAUAGAUUUGCUAGUACUGUUGCCAACAUUUAUGUGCUCCUAUCUGCUAGACAAGGAGAAAUUCUAUGUGCAUACCGUACAGAUUUUUGCUCUGCACAGGAUAUUCCUGUAUACACGCCAUAUGACAAGCACUCUAACAAUAAGUCGCUUCAUUAUUCUGUUCCUCUGCUUUAUGUUCAUUUGGAUGUUCAACAUAGCACUCAGCUCUUUAGCUUUUGGUUUCUCAUGCUUCCCCACAGAGGAAGAAAAUAAUUGGCUUUGCGGUAAAGGUUACUGGUAUAAAUCAUACUCAGCAUUGCACUACAUGGACAAACCAAAAACCGAAUUUGAGUUGUAUGCUCUAUCAAAACUGCACGCGUUGUUUCUGCUUCCUCCUCUUUGUGAAGCUGAAUAUUUCCAAUAUGGCGGCCCAGUGAUUAGAUGGAUGUAUAUUAUUGUGUUGAUCUCCAUCCUGCUCUUCUCCUACCUGUUUGUGGUUCCUCUCCUGUCAAGACGUAUUUUCAAGAACGAUUACAUGUGGAUAUCAUUCUCGAUGAUGCGAUAUAAAGUUAUUAAAAGUCUGACAGAAAUGAAGUUCACCGACAUCCCUACUGGCAAGGUGGAUCAAUUCUUCAGCUAUGCGUGGCGCAAACGUCGCGCACUCUUGGUUGAAGGCGGUGUCACACAGGUCGUGGCCCCUGAGUUGUGGUUGAGUGUGCACCAUGACAUCUACCAGCCUGCGUUUGCGCAUAGUCAGCUGUUUGCCGGGGAGGACCACUGCUACCUGCGAUCGCUCGCCUGUCGCAUGCAGAGUGUGCUGCUGAUGGAGGGUGACGUCAUACUUAGGAAACAGGAGUUGGCGGCUAGGAUGAUCUAUGUGGUCGAGGGCAGUAUUCAGAUUCUGACAACCGAAGACGAUACAACCCCUCAAAUGGUGCUGGGAGCUGGGACGGUGAUCGGCGAGACCUCUCUUUUAAUCAGCUACUUCUCCAAGUGCUACAUCUGCUGCCACUCCAUGACUUGCGAAAUUCAUGUGCUCGACAAAUUAGAUUUCAUUGAGAUAAGUUGCAGAUUCAAGCGCAACUUCCAAGAAGCGAUGAAAACGGUGAAACAGCGCUACCAAAACGCAAAGUUGCUGGAUCGACUGAACGGCAUGAUUAAAGCCAAAGUGAAGAAAUCGCUGCGACUCGAAGAGCAGCUGGUGACUUCGACCGAUUGGCUCAAAUUCAAGAUGCAGCUGAACCACGACUCGGAGGCUAGUGCUAAGAGUGAGGAAUACGCCAUCAGUGGACUCGAGAAUUGGUAUAUUCAUGCCAGUCACACGCUCAGCUUUCUAGGACAGCUUGCUGUGCCGCAGAUUGGAUCCGAAAGUGUCGCCGAUCCCGUUCUCCUGAAGCUCUCCUUCCCGUUCAUCUUCCAGCCCAACUCCCGGGUCCACCAGUUCUGGUACAAACUUAUCUUCCUGUCCGUCUGUUUCCUGGCCAUCUACCUGCCCUACUCCUUCAGUUUCUCCUGUUCCUACACGCCCUUCAUGCGCUACUACCCCGUCAUUUAUCUCAUCAUUUAUAUGCUCGACAUUCUUCUGCAGGUGUCCACCAGUGUCCAAACUAAACGCGGCAUGUCGAUUGAGAUAAGUGAGAUCAUUUAUCACCUCAUACAGCAGCCGUUGUUUGUCAUCGAUCUGGUGUCCACACUUCCGCUGUUUUUGUUCUCGUAUGUGAUCAUGGACGAGCAUGAAAACCUGAGGCCUUUAACACAGGUGAACCAGUUGUUCAAAAUCUACAUGAUAGAGUUGUUCCUGGAGCAGAAAUGGAUCAUACAAACCGAGUACCAAUUCUACUGGCGGAGAUUAAUCAAGAGAAGCGAAAAACCUGCCUAGUCGUCACCAUGGGUCAGUUUCAGAACGCGACGUAUUCUGCGCACUAUCACUCGAUCAAGAAGAAAUUUUUAGAACAUCGACAAUCGAAAAAACUCUUGAUCCGUUCUUUGGCGAGGAAUUCCAGUUCGGGGUGCCGCGGCGAUUCCGCUACCUGAGCAUCUACGUGUACGACCACGACAAGUCGGAUCGUAUCAUCGGCAAAGUGGCCAUCAAACGCGACGAGCUGCAGCUCUAUCACAACAAGGACCACUGGUUCCCCAUCCGGGCCGUCAAUCCUGACACGGAAGUGCAGGGCAAAGUGCACUUGGAAGUGAAGCUGGAGCACUGUUUGGAGACACUGUCUGAGCGGCUGUGCAUCGACGUGAAGGAGUGCAGCGACCUGACUCUGAGCAACGGCUGCUGCGACCCGUUCGCAUCGGUCGCCGUGCGGCUCACCAACGGCAAAGUGGAGACCCGCCGCACCAAAGUGCGCAAGAAAUCCAACUCGCCCGUCUUCGACGAGCUUAUCACCUUCGAG
This is an RNA transcript of Nilaparvata lugens (brown planthopper), 3672 nucleotides long. It is a transcript of the gene named GTPase-activating protein, with no coding region annotated. The record is from RefSeq and is a predicted model, not a curated record. The transcript is spliced from 15 exons. Lineage: Eukaryota; Metazoa; Arthropoda; Insecta; Hemiptera; Delphacidae.